Molecule: unclassified non-coding RNA, 255 nt
Filed under: fungal sp.
Lineage: Eukaryota; Fungi
Description: partial internal transcribed spacer region
Rfam family: Eukaryotic small subunit ribosomal RNA (bases 1-46)
Source: RNAcentral
AAGUCGUAACAAGGUUUCCGUAGGUGAACCUGCGGAAGGAUCAAUCCAAAUAUUAUUAAUAUGUACAACUUUUUGUAUUGUAAUAAUAUGAAAAACCAAUGGUUUAUCAUUUGUAUGCAUAAUGCGAAUGAUAAGUCGUGAUUGCCGUUUGUAAAAGACUGUAAUGGUCUUUGGUAAUCGAACAACACAAUAUUUUAGCCUUUUGAAAUUUAAUAAAAAUCUACACACAACUAUUAGUGGUGGAUCACUUGGCUC